UCCGAGCCUGGUCUCUCCAGAGCCCCUGGUGCUGAGACGACGUCCAAGGGAAGCUAGCACCCUUCUGCCAGGAGGAGAGAUGCGAGAGGACGACGGUGAUGGUGUCACGGCGGAGUACGACGACGACGAUGACGUCAUGGCAGAGUAUGACGACGAUGCUGUCACGGUGGACACGCCCGAGGAUUUCGACAUCUAUGCGUGUGCACCGUGGGGAGCUGGACGCACACCUGGGGCUAUUGGGGCCAUACAUACGGGCGGAAGUGGAGGACAACAUCGUGGUGACCUUCCGGAACCAGGCCUCCCGCCCCUACUCCUUCUACUCCAG
Molecule: long non-coding RNA, 325 nt
Filed under: Rattus norvegicus (Norway rat)
Lineage: Eukaryota; Metazoa; Chordata; Mammalia; Rodentia; Muridae
Description: long non-coding RNA NONRATT013650
Source: RNAcentral